Mauremys mutica (yellowpond turtle) is the source of this 2116-nucleotide long non-coding RNA. RefSeq lists it as uncharacterized. The transcript is spliced from 3 exons. The record is from RefSeq and is a predicted model, not a curated record. NCBI's taxonomy places the organism in Eukaryota, Metazoa, Chordata, Testudines, Geoemydidae.
AGUCCCUGGGAGAAGGGAGGUGUGUUUGAGGCUACAGAGUUUGGCAAGUAGUCAAAGAGAGAAGUAGGAAAGAGUUUGGGAAAAUAGCAACAGGGUUUUGGAGCAAGCAAACAGGAGUUGCUAGACAUACAGUGGCUACCGGCCACUGGGGAAGUGGCAUAGGACCCAGCCUUGCAGCAGAAGACUGUCUGAAACAGCAUAUGGACAGCUGAUAUAGUGGGCCUUUGAUACCCUGGAAGGGGCAGACUAGACAGCGACUUGGCUGGAGGGCUGAGUCAUGAAGAGGGAGCUCCAUGAGCCCUGGAAAGGGAGGAGGAAUGUGGUGUGAACAACUCUUGGCAAGGGGCAUCGGACCUGCCUAGUGCUAAUCCUCAGAUGUUUCCACAAAUUGGGGUCCAAUGCUAAGUAAACCCCAUGGUAAGCCCUCACAGAUCUGCGAAGGUUCUCAGAGUGUGGUCUGUGGACCACCAGUGGUCUGCGAGCUCCAUUCAGGCGGUCCAUGGAUAGUUCCUUCUAAGGUGUGCGCCUGGGCAGCCGAAUACAAGAGAAUGAAGGGCCACCCACCUAAUUAGUGGAGCCAUGCAGAUGAUGUAGGUGGCGCACAUGUAAGGUGAUAACCAAUAUUGAACAUUCUGUAGUUUAUGAAUGAACUGCUUAGCAGGAGAAGAGUCAUAAACAUCCAGCAAUGCCUGCAUAAGACAAUGAAGGACUAGGUCUCUGAUACUUGGGAUAAUGUUUAUCAGAGAACCAACAAGCUUGCAAGAUGGAAUAUUCUGAGUUGUUCUUCAUCACGGGUCAUAAAUUGUUAUUGAUCCGACAUGUCGUCAUCAUCAUCUUCUAUAAUUAUACUGAGUGCUGACCCUGGAUAUUCAGAAAGGGCAGUCGUGUUGCUAAUCUUACCCUUGUUAUAUGACACAUUUGCUAGUAAGCCUGUGUGGCCAUGUGUUUUUUUUUUAAUCAGAGCAUUUCUUUGAAAAUAUCAAAAUUGAGGCAAAGACAAAGGAUGAGGCUGAAUAAAUUUGUAGCCCUAUUCAGUUAGGCACUUUUCUGCUUAGAGUUUUUUUUUCUCCACUUGGGCAAUUAUUAUUUCCACCAUUGAGCUUCUCAGCCUUGAUGUGCAAAUAGAAAAGGGGUGAUCAGGAGGGGUGAAUGUUUUCUUCUUUAGGUUGAAACAUUGCCAUCGAAAUGGCAAAGGAGGUUUCUCCUCUCCAGGCCCAAUUGAUCAAGAUUUUUAGGCCGAAUUCAGCCCUGAUGUGAGCAGGUGCUGAUUUCAGUGGAGCUGCAUCCACCUAUAAUACCCAUUCAUCAUGGAUGCUGCAAAGUGGAAUAAAUGAACAGGCUGUUGCUAUACCCAGCAAUUGGCCCACACCGGUAAAGGGGAGAACAAAGGGGUCAUUUGUACCUUUUCGUGGCCUCCUUCCAAUUACUUCCCAUUUCCCAGCUAAAAACAUAGGGCCAGAGCUUUCCGUCUGCUUCCUCUAUGCAAUAGUGCAUUCAUUUUUUUAUAGAAAUCUUGAUUUGUAACUAUAUUUAAAACUUCAGCGUGAACCACUGAAAAUACUGCAGGAUUGAAUCCAUUUAAGUUCUAGGUGUAGUGAUUUCUGCACAAAAAUUAACGUUUCCAUUGAGGUGGCAUGUGAAAAUAAUUUAUCUACCUUGUGACUAAAACACCAGACAACAUGGAAAAAUCUCAUCAGUAUCACUCUGUCUGGCUAUCAGGACUAAUAGGACAUUGUUAGAAAUGUGAAUGUAAACAGACUUAUUGAAGAGAAACAUUCUAAUCUUACGCUAUAACUUUUUUUUUUUAAAUGAACAAAAUAAAACUAUUGCAUCCCAUUUUGGGCUUCAAGAUGUAACCCUUGAGUAGUUAUUUUGGUUUGUCAUUCAAAUUGCUUGAUCAAAUUCAAUCCUUGUAUUGUCAGUACUCACUUAUUAGUCUUAAUAUAGUACAUAAUAUAGGUACCAGGAAAUAACUACACUCAACCUCAACACAAAGAAAUAGCUAGGAAAAAAUUCAGUAAGUCUUGUUUUCUUUGUAAUCUAUUUCUUUGUAUUUUUGUAAUAUAACUUUACAUUUUUGCUAAAUAUAUUUACUAUUUCACUUUGGAUGUGCCUG